This is a long non-coding RNA of Herpailurus yagouaroundi (jaguarundi), 138 nucleotides long. RefSeq lists it as uncharacterized. The transcript has 3 exons. The record is from RefSeq and is a predicted model, not a curated record. Lineage: Eukaryota; Metazoa; Chordata; Mammalia; Carnivora; Felidae.
UGGAGAAAAAUAUGAAGGUUCCUCAAACCAGUAAAAUAGAACUACCCUAUGAUCCAGUAAUUUCACUACUAGGUAUUUACCCAAAGGUACAAAAAUAGAGAUUUGAAGGGGUACUCACACCCCAAAGUUUAUUAGAGU